RNAcentral lists this long non-coding RNA (509 nucleotides) under Sorghum bicolor (sorghum). RNAcentral describes it as "long non-coding RNA (SBIC_LNC000227)". Lineage: Eukaryota; Viridiplantae; Streptophyta; Magnoliopsida; Poales; Poaceae. The record is from RNAcentral.
AGGGACUCAAUUUCCCGCCGGACAGAAGAAAACUCCCUAACCUCCUCCGUCAGGCGAGCCUUCUCAACCUCCAAGGCCUCGUUCUCCUUCUUCAGAGCACCAAUAGCCUCGUCACGGCAAAUAACCUCCCGGGAGCAGCGCUCCUCCAAGGCGGCAGCCAUAUGAUGACCCUGCUCAAAAAAUAAGUCACAACCAACCUCCGAGCAAAAAACGACGAAGGAAAAUAUAACACAUCGCAAACUUACAAGGCUAUGGUGCUCAUAUUGCACGCGGAGUAGCGUGUCAAAGUCCAUGUUGCGAAGCUUCUGACGAAAACGAUCUGUAAAUCAAAAACAAGUAAGAAAAAAAAUCGUAAGAACCAAAAACCCAUUAGCGGAGGACAGACUACGAACCUCCGACCAAAGAAUGAACCUCGCGCAAGGCAUCAGUCCAACCUGUGAUCGAAGGAUCAGAAGCACCUGCGCAAAACCAAAACUAACCUUAGAAUAAAAUAUCAAAAAACAAACCAA